UACGUAGGGGGCGAGCGUUGUCCGGAAUUAUUGGGCGUAAAGAGCGUGUAGGCGGUUCGGUAAGUCUGCCGUGAAAUCCUGGGGCUCAACCCCGGGCGUGCGGUGGAUACUGCCGGGCUAGAGGGUGGUAGAGGCGAGUGGAAUUCCCGGUGUAGCGGUGAAAUGCGCAGAUAUCGGGAGGAACACCUGUGGCGAAAGCGGCUCACUGGACCACAACUGACGCUGAGGCGCGAAAGCUAGGGGAGCAAACAGG
RNAcentral lists this ribosomal RNA (253 nucleotides) under uncultured bacterium. Its description in RNAcentral is "partial 16S ribosomal RNA". It matches the Rfam family "Bacterial small subunit ribosomal RNA", at positions 524 to 776 of the family's 1533-position model. The record is from RNAcentral.